RNAcentral lists this transfer RNA (77 nucleotides) under Roseitalea porphyridii. RNAcentral's name for it is "tRNA-His". It matches the Rfam family "tRNA". Rfam says of the family: Transfer RNA (tRNA) molecules are approximately 80 nucleotides in length. The record is from RNAcentral. Lineage: Bacteria; Pseudomonadati; Pseudomonadota; Alphaproteobacteria; Hyphomicrobiales; Ahrensiaceae. RNAcentral also lists the same sequence under 1 other name.
GCGAACGUAGCUCAGUUGGUUAGAGCGCUGGAUUGUGGCUCCAGAGGUCGGUGGUUCAAAUCCACCCGUUCGUACCA